This is a long non-coding RNA of Gasterosteus aculeatus aculeatus (three-spined stickleback), 1299 nucleotides long. The record is from Ensembl. NCBI's taxonomy places the organism in Eukaryota, Metazoa, Chordata, Actinopteri, Perciformes, Gasterosteidae.
GAGAAAGCCCCCAAAUCGCCUGUCAAGCAGGGUGUUGCGUUCAGGUGCUCGUAAAGUACACCACUGGUGUAUUUCUACCACGACAGUGUUUCAGGUCAAAAGAAUCAAACGCAGUUGAACUCUGUAACAUAGACACAAUCCUUUGAGUACUUUUCUCUCAACGUACUGUACUUGGUCUGAGCGUCAGUGGAAGGAAACCUUGUGUGACAUUUAGCCCACAGUGAAAGUUUACUAUUAGCGUUAACAAAGUAGUCGUAUUACCGAGGACCGUUCAAAUGCAUCAUAUGCAACCUGUGAGUCCCAAGCAUUCACCAAUGCACCAUACCUUACUGAACUCUGAUUCGUCCUGCCAGGGUGAUCAGUACCAAGCUCAGCCUGUGGUCAGAGAUGUGAUUCUGCAUUCCGGGCCUGUCAGAAUAUCGGUAGUAAAGACUGGUACUCGUUUGAAUUUAACGGCACUUAUGAGGACAUAAAUGCUGUUUUUCCCAAAUGUCGGUUGCUGCCGCUGAUCUUUACACUUCUGAUACAAAGCGUCAACUUCCAGAUCCGACGCUCCUGUCCACUGUCUGUCCUCUACGACUUCAAUGCCACACUGGGAAGGAAGUCCGAGCUUUGACCUCCAGCCCCUCUCUCGAUAGGCCGACGUAGUCUUCCUUCAACACUCUCCUCUUCAUCUUCCUUUCUUCCUCGCCCUCCUCCUCCUGCACACUCGCAUGCUCAUUCAGGGGCAGGGGGGCGUGUCUUUCUCUUUGGGCAGGUCUCAUUCCAGGCGCAAGACUGGGUGCAAUACCUGGGCGGGGCUUCUGACCUGACCACGGGUCACGAUUUGUGGCGGCCCUCAACGCGAUUAAUGGUGCAAAAGAAAGAGGCUUUUCAAAGUCCGGCCUCUGGUGCCGACACGGUCUUAUCAUUUAUUUAUCUAGCCCAGACAUCAGUAACGUCCCAGUUACCUCAAAUGCACCAUGUAUCUGUCAGCGGCUCAUGUCAUGUUGGAGAAAGUGGAAGAACAAGCUCAUAUCAACAAUGAACUGGUCAUGACAUGAACGCAGCAUCAGAGUCCUGCCACCUGCCCAAGGAGCCCCGGGCAAACCCAGAUAGAUCUACCUGACUGAGAAGAAGCAGGUUGUUUAACUGCCUUGGUACUGAGUGAUUCGUUACACUGGACUCAGUGUCACACUGCACACACUAUAAACUAUGACCAGCACUUGUAAUGAAGCAAUGACACAGCAUUCUACUACUACUGUAUAAAUAUGAAUAAAUAAAUAAAGGUCGUUUUGCCUGUAAUGAUAUUAAUGAAAC